GGUCCCCUAACUUCCUGAUCACCUGGGCUGGCGACUGUCAAGUCACCUGCUGACCUGACCGGUGGGCCUCCCUAUGAAGGCGGGGUAUCGCUCGAGAUCCCUAACAGCUCGCGCAUUUGCUGGCGCACUGUCAGCUCGGUAAAUGUCCUUCGGAACUGAAGAAAACGGAGAACCCGGAUUUCAUAUUCCUUUUACCUCUUAGAGCAUUUUUCUCAUACCGUUCUCCGUGGGCGCACAGGAAAUGUUUGCGGAGACUCACGGUGAGAGGCAUCCAAGUCUCUUGUGUUAGGUGAGGGGACUGAUGUCCAGGAAACUGCAAAUCCUGGUAUAUCCUACAUCGCCCCUAUCCCUAAGGAGGCUGGUGGCAAUAAUUCAGAGAGACCUCUGUCAAAGAGAAAGCUUUGGUUCCUACUAGAGAUUUAAAAAUUACCAGAGGUUUGUAGGUGCUCAGUAUAUACGCACAAUCUGUCCCAAACAGUCACCCCUACUUUUCAUGAUCAAGGCCUACAAAGGCCCCUGGUGAAUAUUGUUCACUGGCUAAAGGAAUGCAUGUUAUCUAGAUAGUUCUAUAGAUAACAUAAGGCAACAAACAAUACAACAUGGUUACUGUGUGUCAAUAGGUGUAAGAAUUUCAGUUUAUGCAUGUAAGUGAGACCAGUUGGGCUGGGAGAGCUUGGGAGGAUUAUGCACAGAACAUGAACCAUGAACUAGGUAGGUGUUGGGGAAUAAUCAGGAUCUGAAUACAGCACCAAAGAACCACAGAGGGAGACCAUUCACUGAACACUGGCUACCAUCUAUUCUAAAAUCUCCAGCAAAAAAAAAAAAAAAAAAAAAAAAAAAAAUAGGAAUAGAAAGGAAUCUCCAAUUUUCUCAUCCCAAGCUUCUACUCUCCUCUUCCACUCUGUUCGGGAUUCACGCAAAUAGCAUAAAGAUUCUUCUCUCUCAAAGUUCACAGUCUCCAGUUACUGCUAGUUUCAGGUCCUGGAGACCAGUAACUGUCUAGUUUUUCCUGUCUAGUAACUAGUAUGUUGUAGAGGCUGAAAUCAUGCCCCCAAGUCCCUGAUCCAUGUAUUUCUACCCAUCAGUGUUGUGCAAUCCACAAUCCUGCAAGAACAGGAACAGAGCCCUGCAAAAUAAAGGCUUAAAGACAAAAAUCAUUAGAUACUACUCAGCAAUAAAAAGGAAUGAACCACUGACACAUACAGAACGUGGAUGAAUCUCAAGGCUUUGUGGUAGGUGAGAGAAGCCAGACAACAAAAGACCAAAUUGUAUAUAAUUCCAUUGAUAUGAAAUCCAAAAAAGGUGAAACUACAAGGAAAGAACGUACAGCGGUUGGCAGGGGUAGGAGGUUGACUGCAAGGGGCGUGAGGCUCAUUUUGGGGGAUAAAAGAAAUAUUUUUAAAUACAAUAGUCAAAAGUAGUCAGAUUAUACACAAUCAAAUUACCUAUUUUAGGUGUACAAACUAUACCUCAAUAAAAAUGGUAUUGGUACGAAAAGUAAGAUAAUCUCAACAAAUCUACAUGAUAAAUAAGAUGAUAUUCAGCUCAAAUGUGCAAACUCAGUCCCAGGAUUAGAAACACACCGCUGUCUGCACGAGCUGUGACAAAGCCACAGCAGAGUCCAGUCCUAACACUCUGCUGGUCCUCAUAAGCUCUAAAGAGCUUCAGGCAGAAAUACUACCCAAGAAUUGCAGGGGGACCCAUCUUCUGGAAACAUGUCUCUUUGGGCAGUUUAUGGGAGGUCAGAGAUGAUGUGAAAUGUUUGGGGGCACAGAUUUCAAACCCCCGUUGGACUUUUGUCCUAGGAAAUGAGCACUUGGAUUUUCAUCAUAUCGUCCCCCAAAUCGCCACGAUCAUCUAGAGUAUGGCCCCCGAUAUCAGUGGGGAUGAGGUUCCAUGCAGAAGUUCUCCAGUUCCGGAGACGGAAAGAGAGGGAGAGAGACCCCAAAUGUGAGUGGAGGAGCGACAGAGAGAGGGAGACAGAGGAUC
Long non-coding RNA from Felis catus (domestic cat), 1989 nucleotides. RefSeq lists it as uncharacterized. Lineage: Eukaryota; Metazoa; Chordata; Mammalia; Carnivora; Felidae. The transcript has 3 exons. The record is from RefSeq and is a predicted model, not a curated record.